CGAAGGGUGCAAGCGUUACUCGGAAUUACUGGGCGUAAAGCGUGCGUAGGUGGUUGUUUAAGUCUGUCGUGAAAGCCCUGGGCUCAACCUGGGAACUGCGAUGGAAACUGGGCGACUAGAGUGUGGUAGAGGGUAGCGGAAUUCCUGGUGUAGCAGUGAAAUGCGUAGAUAUCAGGAGGAACAUCCAUGGCGAAGGCAGCUACCUGGGCCAACACUGACACUGAGGCACGAAAGCGUGGGAGCAAACAGGAUU
Molecule: ribosomal RNA, 253 nt
Filed under: uncultured bacterium
Lineage: Bacteria
Description: partial 16S ribosomal RNA
Rfam family: Bacterial small subunit ribosomal RNA
Source: RNAcentral